Molecule: small RNA, 72 nt
Filed under: Salmonella enterica
Lineage: Bacteria; Pseudomonadati; Pseudomonadota; Gammaproteobacteria; Enterobacterales; Enterobacteriaceae
Also listed under: 1 other name
Description: partial RtT sRNA
Rfam family: RtT RNA
About the family: This family represents a bacterial cis-regulatory element known as RtT RNA. The exact function of RtT is unknown although it is thought that it may be involved in changing the cellular response in relation to amino acid starvation.
Source: RNAcentral
GAGAGAACGUUGCGUCAGCAACGGCCCGCAGGGCGAGUCACGCAGUGGCGAGUCAUCCUCUAUCACCGACCA